GGCCUUAGCUCAGCUGGCUAGAGCACCUGCUUUGCAAGCAGGAUGUCAAGGGUUCGAAUCCCUUAGGCUCC
RNAcentral lists this transfer RNA (71 nucleotides) under human gut metagenome. It matches the Rfam family "tRNA". From Rfam's summary of the family: Transfer RNA (tRNA) molecules are approximately 80 nucleotides in length. Their secondary structure includes four short double-helical elements and three loops (D, anti-codon, and T loops). The record is from RNAcentral.